This 378-nucleotide ribosomal RNA is filed under the name Triticum aestivum (bread wheat). RNAcentral's name for it is "partial small subunit ribosomal RNA". The record is from RNAcentral. Lineage: Eukaryota; Viridiplantae; Streptophyta; Magnoliopsida; Poales; Poaceae.
AUGGAUGAUCACAACCAUUUGUUGGCUAGAGCAGAUGAGGUGGUAUUUCUGCGGUCACAUAGAGUGAUGGGAGAUCACCAGAUAGCUGAGAUCUUGGCGACGAAAGGAGCUGGGAUCAGAAAGCAUAUCAUCGUCGACAACUUCAUUAGCAGGUAUGGUUCGUACGAUAAGUGUGGGUUUCUGAGACGAGACGUCUACAACCUAUGUUGCCGUGAAAAAAUGAAGUUGAUUGUGAAGGGUGAUGCUAACACGGCAAUCGGUAUUAUGAGGAGCGGAAAGGAUAAGGAUCCAGACUUCUUCUUUGAGUACGUGCUCGAUAAGGAGGGCCGUUUAAAGAGCAUGUUCUGGUGCGAUGCACAGUCGCGGCGGGACUAUUAG